AAUAGAUACCCAGGUAGUCCACGCCGUAAACGAUGUCGACUUGGAGGUUGUUCCCUUGAGGAGUGGCUUCCGGAGCUAACGCGUUAAGUCGACCGCCUGGGGAGUACGGCCGCAAGGUUAAAACUCAAAUGAAUUGACGGGGGCCCGCACAAGCGGUGGAGCAUGUGGUUUAAUUCGAUGCAACGCGAAGAACCUUACCUACUCUUGACAUCCAGAGAACUUAGCAGAGAUGCUUUGGUGCCUUCGGGAACUCUGAGACAGGUGCUGCAUGGCUGUCGUCAGCUCGUGUUGUGAAAUGUUGGGUUAAGUCCCGCAACGAGCGCAACCCUUAUCCUUUGUUGCCAGCGGUCCGGCCGGGAACUCAAAGGAGACUGCCAGUGAUAAACUGGAGGAAGGUGGGGAUGACGUCAAGUCAUCAUGGCCCUUACGAGUAGGGCUACACACGUGCUACAAUAGCGUAUACAAAGAGAAGCGACCUCGCGAGAGCAAGCGGACCUCAUAAAGUACGUCGUAGUCCGGAUUGGAGUCUGCAACUCG
Molecule: ribosomal RNA, 537 nt
Filed under: uncultured bacterium
Lineage: Bacteria
Description: bacterial SSU rRNA
Rfam family: Bacterial small subunit ribosomal RNA
Source: RNAcentral